UAACACGUGAGUAACCUGCCCUUGACUUUGGGAUAACUUCAGGAAACUGGGGCUAAUACCGGAUAGGAGCUCCUGCUGCAUGGUGGGGGUUGGAAAGUUUCGGCGGUUGGGGAUGGACUCGCGGCUUAUCAGCUUGUUGGUGGGGUAGUGGCUUACCAAGGCUUUGACGGGUAGCCGGCCUGAGAGGGUGACCGGCCACAUUGGGACUGAGAUACGGCCCAGACUCCUAC
This 230-nucleotide ribosomal RNA is filed under the name uncultured Propionibacterium sp. RNAcentral describes it as "partial 16S ribosomal RNA". It matches the Rfam family "Bacterial small subunit ribosomal RNA", at positions 111 to 342 of the family's 1533-position model. The record is from RNAcentral. Lineage: Bacteria; Bacillati; Actinomycetota; Actinomycetes; Propionibacteriales; Propionibacteriaceae.